Oreochromis niloticus (Nile tilapia) is the source of this 826-nucleotide long non-coding RNA. RefSeq lists it as uncharacterized. The record is from RefSeq and is a predicted model, not a curated record. The transcript has 2 exons. NCBI's taxonomy places the organism in Eukaryota, Metazoa, Chordata, Actinopteri, Cichliformes, Cichlidae.
UCAAACUCAAGGAAAUGCAGAAGCAGGAACCUGGAGUUUAAAUGAAUGGCGUGUCAAUGAAAUGUCCUUCUUUGGAGUUUUAUAUUAUUUUCUUGCUGUUUUCAUUUUUGGAGCCUUUGACAAAGCUCUAACAGCAGUGAUCCAAACACAGCAGACUGUGCUGGCAGCAGUGGGAGAAGAUGCUGAAUUCAGCUGUCAGCUCUUGGAGACUAAAGACGUCCUUCAGGUCACAUGGCAGAAAGUCACUACUGGGAAGAAGAAUGUUGCCACCUACAGCAACUACUAUGGUCCGUGUAAGGAAGAGGACUCCCUUACAUUUAUUUGUAUUAUAUUAUCUGUAUAGCACUUUAGAGCACACCUUUCACUUUAUUAAAAGCACCUUAUCAAGCACUUUAUUUAGCAUUGCACUUUAAGCAUGGAUUUGCACAGUAAAACAUUUGCACACAAGAAGUUUAAAUAUUUAUUGAUUAUUUAUUGGGAAUUUUAAAAUCAGUUGGUAGCCUUGAUUCAGAUCCUGCACAGCUGCUCCUCAUCAAGGAAUGUGGUGGUUGUCUGUGAGGAGAGAAGAAUGGUGAUUGAGAUGAUGAUUAAGGUUUACCAGUAAGGAAAACUAAUGCAAAUGUGUGUGUGAAAUCUAGGAAGAAAAGUGGCGCAAAUAAGUGUUUGUAAGAUAAUGAUUACUCACCUUUCUUGCCUGUGUCCUCUUCAGGGUGUUUGGGCAAAUGUUUCCCCGGGGGUCCAGACACCAUUUAAAGGUUCCGGGAGAGACCAUUGGUUAAGAGAGUGUGGUGAAUCUUUUUGUGCUUGGGUUUCUGGGUUUUUAUAA